This is a long non-coding RNA of Maniola jurtina (meadow brown), 66 nucleotides long. RefSeq lists it as uncharacterized. The record is from RefSeq and is a predicted model, not a curated record. The transcript is spliced from 3 exons. Lineage: Eukaryota; Metazoa; Arthropoda; Insecta; Lepidoptera; Nymphalidae.
UCUUUUUAACCGACUUCAAAAAAAGAGCAGGUUCUGUAUUCGACUGUAUGUUUUUUAUAAGGCUAG